UAGGGAAUCUUCCGCAAUGGACGAAAGUCUGACGGAGCAACGCCGCGUGAGUGAAGAAGGAUUUCGGUUCGUAAAACUCUGUUGUUAGGGAAGAAAAAAUGUAUAGUAACUAUAUACAAAAGAGACGGUACCUAACCAGAAAGCCACGGCUAACUACGUGCCAGCAGCCGCGGUAAUACGUAGGUGGCAAGCGUUGUCCGGAAUUAUUGGGCGUAAAGCGCGCGCAGGUGGUUUAGAAAGUCUGAUGUGAAAGCCCACGGCUCAACAGUGGAGGGUCAUUGGAAACUAAUAAACUUGAGUGCAGGAGAGAAAAGUGGAAUUCCUAGUGUAGCGGUGAAAUGCGUAGAGAUUAGGAGGAACACCGGUGGCGAAAGCGGCUUUUUGGCCUGCAACUGACACUGAGGCGCGAAAGCGUGGGGAGCAAACAGG
This 429-nucleotide ribosomal RNA is filed under the name Verrucomicrobiota bacterium. Its description in RNAcentral is "Verrucomicrobia bacterium partial 16S ribosomal RNA". It matches the Rfam family "Bacterial small subunit ribosomal RNA", at positions 355 to 776 of the family's 1533-position model. Lineage: Bacteria; Pseudomonadati; Verrucomicrobiota. The record is from RNAcentral.